UCCAUUAUGUACAGCAUUGCGUGAGCUUCGCUCCUUAUGUUUAACCAUUCCUGAACCUGAGAAGGUGCACGGAGGGUGAACGGACUACUUUGAGAAAAUUAGCGUGCUCAAUGCAGGCGACUGCUUGUAUACUUAUGCAUGGAAUAAUGAGAAAGGACCUCGGUUCUGUUUCGUUGGUUUCCGGAAGCUGAGGUAAUGAUUGAUAGGGACAAACGGGGGCAUUCGUAUUGUGGUGUUAGAGGUGAAAUUCUGUGAUCACCGCAAGACGAACUACUGCGAAAGCAUUUGCCAAGAAUGUUUUCAUUAAUCAAGAACGAAAGUUAGAGUUUCGAAGACGAUUAGAUACCGUCCUAGUUCUAACUAUAAACUAUGCCAACUGGGCAUCUGGCGAUUGCAUCUAUGCAUCGGCAGGCACCCUGCGGGAAACCAAAGUUAUUGGGUUCCGGGGGGAGUAUGGUUGCAAAAUCGAAACUUAAAGGAAUUGACGGAGGGGCACACCAGAAGUGGAGCCUGCGGCUCAAUUUGACUCAACGCACGAAAACUUACUCGGUCCGAACACCGUGAGGAUUGACAGGUUGAAAGCUCUUUCUUGAUUCGGUGGGUGGUGGUGCAUGGCCGUUCGUAGUUGGUGGAGUGAUUUGUCUGGUUUAUUCCGAUAACGAACGAGACUCUAGCCUAUUAAUUAGUGGGGCGAGCGAACCGCUUUGCGGCGAUGCCGUUCAUUUACUUCUUAGAGGGACAAGUGUCGUGAGACACUCGAAGUUGAGCAAUAACAGGUCUGUGAUGCCCUUAGAUGUUCGGGGCUGCACGCGCGCUACAAUGGAGGCUUCAAAAAGCGUUCCUGAUCCGAAAGGAGCAGGGAAUCAUAAAUAGCCUUCACGAUUGGGAUCGGAGAUUGUAAUUAUUCUUCGUGAAAGAGGAAUUCCUAG
RNAcentral lists this ribosomal RNA (929 nucleotides) under Neoechinorhynchus salmonis. Its description in RNAcentral is "SSU rRNA". It matches the Rfam family "Eukaryotic small subunit ribosomal RNA", at positions 667 to 1617 of the family's 1831-position model. Lineage: Eukaryota; Metazoa; Acanthocephala; Eoacanthocephala; Neoechinorhynchida; Neoechinorhynchidae. The record is from RNAcentral.